CCGAGUUUUCAACUCCCAAACCCAUAUGUGAACCUACCUAUUGUUGCUUCGGCGGACUCGCCCCAGCCCGGACGCGGACUGGACCAGCGGCCGCCGGGGACCCUCAAACUCUUGUAUUACCAGACAUAUUCUGAAUACGACGCAAGAAAACAUAAUUA
Molecule: small RNA, 158 nt
Filed under: Beauveria vermiconia
Lineage: Eukaryota; Fungi; Ascomycota; Sordariomycetes; Hypocreales; Cordycipitaceae
Source: RNAcentral